GUGGAUUAGAUACCCUGGUAGUCCACGCCCUAAACGUUGAUUACUCGUUGUUGGCGAUAUACUGUCAGCGACCAAGCUAAAGCGUUAAGUAAUCCACCUGGGAAGUACGACCGCAAGGUUGAAACUCAAAGGAAUUGACGGGGGCCCGCACAAGCGGAGGAGCAUGUGGUUUAAUUCGAUGAUACGCGAGGAACCUUACCUGGGCUUGAAAGUUAGUGACCUUCUGUGAAAGCAGAAUUCUCUUCGGAGCACAAAACUAGGUGCUGCACGGUCGU
This 275-nucleotide ribosomal RNA is filed under the name uncultured bacterium. RNAcentral describes it as "partial 16S ribosomal RNA". It matches the Rfam family "Bacterial small subunit ribosomal RNA", at positions 773 to 1052 of the family's 1533-position model. The record is from RNAcentral.